AUGAUAAAAAACAGAAAUACACAUGAGCCAUUAUUACCUACGGAAGAAAUAACAAAUGCGAUGAACGCAAUUACUAAUUUUAAUAUACAUUAUGAAGAAGAAAAAAAUGAAAUGUUAAAUAGAAUUACAGAAUUAGAAAAUAAAUUAAAAUUAAAAAUGAUCGAAACUAAUAAGUUAUGUGAACAAUAUGAAGAUAAUAUAAAAUCACUUUUAUUAGAUAGAGAUGAACGAUUGAAGGAUUGUGUAUAUAUGUCAGACGAUUUAAAAAAGAAAAAUGACGAAAUUGUGUUAUUAAUGAAAGAAUUAGGUGAUAAAAAUAUAGAAUAUAAUGAGUUACAGUUUAAAUGUAACUUUUUAGAUAGUGAAGUAAAAAAUUUAGAAUCUACAAAACUAACAUUAAAUGAAAAAUUAAUGGAAUUGGAAAGGAACCAAGAGGAACGUAUUUCUUAUUUUAAGAGAGAAAAUGAAUAUUUAAAAGAAGACACAGUAAACUUUCAAAAUGUACUUCAACUUAUUGACAAUGAGAUGAAUAAAUUGAAAGACGAAAUAAAUGAAUUACGAGAAGAAAAAUAUAAUUAUGAAAAUAAAAUUGAUAAAUUAAAAGAAUUGUUAGAAGAAGAAAAACGAAUGAAUGAUAUGUUAAAAGAUAAUGAAAAAAAUUUUGUAAAAGAAAUAAAUGAAGCACAUCAAUAUGCAAUAAAAAAAGAAGAAGAAUUAAAUACGAUACGGAUAAAUGAUGAUAUGGAUAAAAAAAAAUAUAUAGAUGAAAUUGAUUUUUUAAAAAAUGAAAAUAAAGAAAUUCAUAAUUCGUAUAAAAAUAAAAUGAAGAUGAUAUCUGAAUUAGAAUUACAAAUGUUAGAAUAUAAAGUGUUAUUGGAUAAAAAUACGAGUAUGAAAAUGUUAAUUCAGGAGUUGGAAAAUAAAAUAGAUGAAUUAUUAAAAGAUAAUGAAAAAUUAUGUGUCGAUUUGAAGAAAGAAAAACAUUUAAGUGAAGAAAAAGAUCGAACUGUGCAUAUAUUAAAUGAAAAUAUAAAAAAAAUGGAAAUCGAAUAUUAUGAACAAAAUGGAUCAAUUAUAAAAUUGAAAGAAGAAAAAGAACAAUUACAUCAAGAGAUAGGUAUUUUAAAAAAUUGUUAUAACAAAAAAGAUGAAAUGAUUGAAAAGUUAGAAUUUAAUUUGAGGAAAGCGGCUUUUGGCGAUGUCCAAUUAAGUGAGUUAGAUAUCGAACGUUUAGAGCAGAAGGUGAUAUAUGCAGGUAAAGAGGAAGAAGAUAAUUCCCAAUUAAAUGUAAAUGAACGUGGUGAUGGUUCCAUUUAUGACGAUGAGGGGUUGUUUAAUAGUCAAAUAUGUAUUUUUAAUAAUACGAAUGGUAAUAAUAUGUACAGUAACAAAGAUGGUACAUACCACUCAAACAACUAUAUGAACCAAAAUAGCAAACAACAAAUGAAUCAAAAGUUGGUAGAAUUAAAAAAAUAUAGUUUAUUUUUGAAAGAAAAAAAUGAUACGCUAAAUCAAGAAAUGCGUAAACUAAUGGAUAAAUUGUCUAUAGAAGAAGGUAAACAAAAUGAAGUAGAUCGAAUAAUAGAAAGAAGAGAUGAUAUGAUACGCAACUUAAACAAUGAAAUAGUAAAUUUUAAUGAAAAAAUAAAAACUUUAGAAAAUAAUAUGAAACAACUAAAUUCGGAGCUAUAUGCAGCAAAUGAAUUGUUAGCACUUAGAAGUGAUGAAUGUAAGGAACUUUCGUUAGAGUUAUGUGAAGUGAAUGAUGUGAAAAAUAAAAUAAUAACACAAAACGAAGUAUUAAUACAACAAGUGGAGUUUUAUAAACAACAAAUAGAAGAAAAAUCAUUUCUUCUUGAAAAUGUGGAUAUACAAAAAAAAAUGUCAGACGAUCAACAAUAUGAUAAAAACAGAAUUAUAAAAGAGUAUAAUAGAAUAUUAAAUGUUUAUUAUAAAACAUGUUCUCAUAUUAUUUAUUAUAAAAAGUAUAUUGACAAGGAGUUAAAUGAUUCUAUUGAUAUUCAUAGUAGGUAUGAUAUGAGUCGUAGUGGUACAGGAGGUUAUGAUUCUGCAUACCCCCAUGAGAGUGAUAAAAAUGUUGGAAAACAUAUGGAAGACGAACAAAAUGAAUACGAAUUUCUUAUAGAAUCAUUAAAUAUAAGCAGUUUAUAUAAUUCUAAUUCUACUCCUAACCACAAUAACAAUAAAGAUGAUAUAGUUAACAUAAACGAAAGUAACAUCGGUGAAAUAACAAAAUAUGUAAAUGAGUUUUUAAAAAGUGUACGACUUUUAUUAUAUAAAAAAAGGAUAUAUACAACAAAGUUAGAAAAUAACGAAAAGAGAUAUGCUAGCUUUAAAGAGAAGAUGAAAAAGGACAGAGAUUUGAUAAAUGAGUUGAAAAAGAAAUUGAGAGAAAAGGAAGAGUUAGAAUUGAUGAAUGGUACUAUACAUAAAAAAGGGAAAGAUUGGUAUGGUAAAGAUGAACAGAAUAGGUUGAACGUACACGGAUCACAUGUAUCAGCUGAGGGUCAUAACGAUUCUUCUUUGGCUAUAUAUAAAGAAUUAAGCUCUAGUAUAUACAAAAACGAAGAUAGAGAUAAACUUUUGGAUAAGAAACAGAUUGAUAUGUUGCAUUACGAAAUAGAAAAAUUAAAAGAAGAAAACAAAUUUUUAAACAAACAAGUAAAUAAUUACAUGAAAUUACAAAAUAGUUUAAACGAAAUUAAGAAUAAAGAAAAGGAGAGUAUAGUAGUGGAUACACAUUUAGACAAUAAUAAUUCUCGUUUCCCAAAUGAUUAUACAUAUGUAGCUGAAAAUAAAUAUUUAAAGUUUCAACUUGAUACUGUAAACAGUGAAUUAGAUAUUUAUAAAAAUAAAAAUGAAUUUUUACAAAAGAAAACAAUAAAUUAUGAAGAUAUAAUUGAUAAUUUACAAAAAGAAAUAAUAAAUAUUAUUGACAAACAAAAAGAAUGUGACAAUGAAUUUUAUAAACUUGAAAAGGAGUUAGAAAAGAAAAAUGAACACAUUGAAAAUUUAUUGAAUAAAAGAAAAGAAGAUCAAGAACAUAUAGAAAAUGAAAAUAUAAUAACAGAAAAAUUAGAAAAGGAAUUUUUAGCAUUAACAGAUGAUUUAUUUAAAAAAGAUAUUCAAAUAAAAGAGUCUGAAGAAAUAAUAAAAAAAUUAAAUGAUGAUAUAAAAGAGCAAAUAAAAGAAAUUGAAAAUUUAAAAGGUUAUGUAGAAAAAGUGAAAAAUGAUUAUGAAACUGUUCAAACAAAAAAUAAAGAAUCGUAUGAUAGGAUAGCAAAAGAAAAACAAGAAAUAGCUGAAUAUGAACAAAAAAAAGAAAGUGAGCUAUUACUAGAUAAAUUACAAAAUUAUGAUACUAUAAUAUCAGAGUUAUUAAAAGAAAAAGAAACUUUAUUAAAGAAUUAUGAAACUUUAAAAAGAAUACAUGAUGAAAAAUUAAAAUUAGAAUCGGUAAUGCAUCAAGAGAUAAGUGAUUUGAGAAAAAAUAAUGAAACGAUAGCUGAAAAAAAUAAUGCAUUAAUGAAUGAAAUACAUGAUUUGGUAAAGAAAAAUGAAGAGUAUAAUAUAAAGUUGGUAGAUAUGGAUAAGGAAAAACUUGAUUUGUAUAUGAAGUAUUUAAAAAUAUCGGAAGAGUUUAAUAAUAUUGCAUCGUGUUCGAUUCGGUUAAAUGAGAAGGAAGGUGCAGUUACUGGUGAUGACGAUCGUACUAUGUUACCAGCAUCUUUAUUGGAUAAACAAAAAGAAAUAAAAGAAAAGGCCAAAAUAUUAGAAAUGAACGUAAAUAAUUUAUUAGACCUGGACAAAAUGACAACAAACGAUAAUGAACUGUUAAACAAAUCGAUUAUAUCACAAAAGAGGGGGGAAGGAGUUAAUAAUGUAGACAAUGGAUUGGAUAUACAUACACAAAAUGGUAUGAAUAAACAUACCAUACAAAAUGAAAUUGAUAAAUAUACGAUACAAAAUGAAAUUGAUGAACAUACCAUACAAAAUGAUAUCAAUAAAUUAGUAAUCGAAAACAAUGAACUGAAAAAAAAAAUCAAUAAAUUGGAAUUGAUAAAUAGUAAUAUAUUUAAUGAUAAUAAAGAGUUGGUUAAAAUUAUAUCAAAUGAAAACGAUGAGAAGGAACGAUUAAACGAGGAACGUAGACAUAGUAUUGACCAUCCUGGUAGAGGUGAUCAUUCAGAUAAUCGUCAGAGAAAAAGUUACACUAGUUUAGUUAGUCAUAGUAAUAAUAACGAACAAAAUUUAAACUUAGAAAUUGAUAAACUUCAAAAUAAAAUUGAUGAAUAUAAUAUACUUAUAAACAAACAGAAAAAUUAUUACGAAAAUUGUAACAGAAAGGCAAAAAAUUAUUUGUAUUAUCUUAAUGAUAAAAUUAAAAGGUUUAUUGAAAUAUUUAAAGAAGAUACUUUUAAUUAUAAUUAUUUUAAAUCGGAAUUGAAAAAAAUGAAAUCGAUUAAUUUGAUGGUGAUUAAAGACAAUUUUGAAUCAUUUGAAACUGUGAAGGAGGAUGAUGAUGUUAUAAGUAGCACUUAUAACGAUAAUAAUGAUAAAUAUAGUUCUAUCAGAAGACAGUCCCAUUUAUACGAUAAUGAUAUUGAUGAAGAAGAUGAUAAUACAAGUGUAAGUUCCAAAAUAAUAGUCAGUUUUUUUACUAAUUAUAAUGUUCCGAAUGGAGAAAAUGAUAUUAUUAUAAAUAAAAUUGAAUUAAGAAAAGUAUAUAAAUACAUAAUAAGAUUAAAAGAAUAUUAUCAUAAAGUUUGUUUAUUAGCAGAUAAUCGAAAUAAUAAAAUUACACAAUUAAAUGAAAUAAUAAAUAAUUAUAUUCAAGAAAAUAAAGAACAUGAAGAAGAAAAAAAUGAAUUGAAAAGGAAUAUAAAAGAAUUGAUGCAAGAAAAUUCAAUUACUGUUGAAAAAUUAUCUAAAGUACAAACAAACUUAUUAAAUACUAUAAAUGAAGAAGUUAAUAAAAAUAAUAAAUUAAUACUAGAGUUAGAAAAAUUGAAGGAAAAAUAUAAAGUAUAUAAAGAUAAUAGUAAACAAAUAGAAUCUGCAUUACAAUUGAAAUUGGAUAACGAGAGUGAUGAGUAUGGUGAUGGUAACAAUACUGUGAAUGUUUCAGAUAAUGCCGCUUUUGCCUCUGGUGGAGAAAAUGGAGAUGCCACUAUUAAUAACUUUUCCAUUAAUAACAAUGCUAAUAGUAGUAUACAAAAAGAAGAAAAAAAAAUUGUUAACAAUUUAAACCGUAUCUCUAUUUUAGUAGAAGAAUAUAAAGAAUUGGUAGAAAAGAAUUCCAAUUUAUUAGUAACAAAAAAUGAAUUAUUAUCUGAAAACGAUUUAUUAAAAAAUGUUAUAACCAACAUGGAUAAAGAAAUAGUUUCCUUAACAAGCGAAUUAAAUGAAGUUAAAACUGAAUUAACUACUAAGAAAACAAUAUUAAAAUUUUCAAAUUUGAGCAGUAUAAGAAAAUACAGCAGUGGAAAGGAAAAAGACGGAAUGGGGAGUAGCGAAAUAAAGGAUGGCGAAAUAAAAGAUAGCGAAAUAAAGGAUGGAGAAAUAGACGAUUACAAUAAUGAGACUACAAAUAAUGACAGUAAUCUUAUUAAAGAAUAUGAAGAAAUUUUACUAGUAAUUGAAAAAAAAAAAAAAAAAAAAAAAAUCGAACUACCAUCUUCUGUUAUGUAUUUAAGUGGUUUUGUAGAUACAAAUGAGGAGGAUCAGAUAGAAAAACAUAGAAAAGCAGAAACAAAAUUAAGUUCAAAUUUAAAUAACGUUUCUGAUUUUAUAUUUUAUUCUCCCAACGAUUUACUACUAAUCAAUAAGAACAUACAUGCAAUUGAUAUGUUGAACAAUGAAUAUUUAAAAAAUAAAGAAUUAGAAAGUUAUAUUCAUUCAUUAAAAAAUGAUAUGAAUCGAAUAAUAAAAGAAGAGUAUUAUGAUGAAUUAAGAGAAGUUAAAAAUAAAGUAUUACAAAAUUUGUUAGAACAGGAAAAUGAAAUAGAAAAAUAUAAAAUUGUUUUAAAUAAAAUGUCUAGACAACUCCAAGAUAAAGAAGAAAUAAUAAAUGACUUGAAACGGGUCUAUAAUGAGAAAAUUAAAAAAACAGUAGAUAUGAGUAACGGAUUUAGAGGGAAACUAAAUGAUGAAUCUUUAUUAUUAUUGUCAGGGGAGGAAAAAGACAGUUAUAACGAUAAUAACAACAACCAUGUUAAUGAUAAUAUUAUGCAUUUACAAAACGAAAAAGUUUUAUUAAAACUAAAAAACAAUUAUGAAGAACUUUUAAACAAAUAUAACAAUUGUUUAAACGAUUUGGAAGAAAGAAAAAGUGAACUGGAAUUAGUAAAAAAUGAAAUGGAUAAAAUAAAAAAAUUAAAAGAUAUUGAAUUAAAAGAUAAAGAAUUUAUUAUUAAAAAAUUAGAAUUAAUUAAUGUACAACUAAAAGAUAAAGAAGAUGAAAUAAAAAAAUAUUAUAAUAAAGAAUUAGAAAUAAAAGAAAAUAUGAUAAAAAAUAAAGAAGAAACAUUGGAAGAAUUAACUAAAGAUAUGACUAUGUUAAAAACAGAAGAAAACCGAAAACGUAAUUAUAUAAAUGAAUUAGAAUUACAAGUUUCAAAUUUACAUAAUGAAAUUAAUAUAUUAAAUGAUAUUUUAAAAGAUUCUAAAGAACAGAUUAAUAUUAUGAGUAAAAUUGUAGAGGAUAAGGAGCAAGAAAUAUUUGAAUUGGUAGACAAGGUAAAUGAGUAUGAUAAUUUGUUGGAUAAUGCAGAUGGUAGUAGUUGUAGAAAGGAUGGAAAUAAACAGCACUCGAGUGGAAAACGCAUGAGUGAGCAACGGUUGAGUGAGCAACGGUUGAGUGAGCAACGGUCGAGUAAGCAACGGUCGAGUGAGCAACGGUCGAGUGAGCAAAAGUUAAGUGAUCAGUCACCAAUGGGAAGCACUCCAAAAGAAUAUGACACAAACAGCACACACGAACUGAAUGAGCUAAAAUCAAGUAAUUUGUUGGAUAGCAACAUGCACUUUCAACAGUUAAGUGAGUUAAGACAAAACUUAAAAGAUUCGUUUGAAAAUUACAAUCAAUUAAAAUUUGAUAGUAUACAAAAGAUUGAAGAGUAUAAAGAAGAAGCUAAUAAUUUAAAAAUUUUUAUAAAACAAAUUGAAAAUGAAAAUGUAAAAAAAGAUGAAAAAUAUGAAUUAAUUGAAUUAGCUAUAAAAGAAAUGGAUAAAGAAAUAAUAAUACUAAAAGAAGAAAUAAAUCAAAAAGAAAUGUAUAUAACUGAACUAAAAAAAGCUAUAGAUAUAAAUAAAAAAGAUAUAGAAUAUAUAAAGGAUGAUAUAACAUUAGUGGAACAUGUAGUUACAACUUAUAUACAAUCAAAUACAAUUAAUUUAAAUGAACUAACACACAGAUUAGCGACUGAAACAAAAACAACUUAUUUGUUGUUUAUUAAAGAUUUUA
Molecule: long non-coding RNA, 7483 nt
Organism: Piliocolobus tephrosceles (Ugandan red Colobus)
Lineage: Eukaryota; Metazoa; Chordata; Mammalia; Primates; Cercopithecidae
Source: Ensembl